Molecule: RNA transcript, 5145 nt
Organism: Dendroctonus ponderosae (mountain pine beetle)
Lineage: Eukaryota; Metazoa; Arthropoda; Insecta; Coleoptera; Curculionidae
Gene: Myb
Gene name: myb-related protein B
Exons: 13
Source: RefSeq, a predicted model, not a curated record
CGAUGGCGUUUUUUCACUUUUUGUUCAGUAUGCUGAAGAAUUCGGUGUUAGGCGCAUCUCAGCGUUGAAUAAGUGUCAACACGGCUCUGUAGCGUUUUCGUGUGUGUUGUGGGACUUUCCUGUGGGAGUCCUACUCUAUUGCUGGGAUAUGGGGGACUAUUACCAAAUGCACCAGGAUCUUGACUUAUGUAAAUUAGAAAUCGACUCAGAAAAUGAAAACAGUGGAAAUGAAGAGUCUGAUGACUCGGCAGGUGCGGAGGAAGAGUAUCAGCAACACAAUAAAUCGAAGAAGUUCAUUAACAAGGGCCGAUGGAGCAAAGAAGAGGACAUAAAAUUGAAGCUUUACGUUGAAGAGUAUAACGAAAAAUGGAGCAUGAUUGCGGAACAUUUUCCGGACAGAUCGGACGUCCAGUGCCAGCAGCGCUGGACAAAGGUCGUGAAUCCGGAACUUAUAAAAGGACCGUGGACCAAAGAGGAAGAUGAGAAAGUCGUUGAGCUGGUGAACAAAUACGGGGCGAAAAAAUGGACGCUGAUCGCUCGACAUCUCAAAGGCAGAAUAGGGAAACAGUGCCGGGAGCGCUGGCACAAUCACUUGAAUCCGAGAAUCAAAAAAUCCGCCUGGACCGAUGAGGAGGACGAAAUCAUCUAUCAAGCGCAUCAAAUGCUCGGCAAUCAGUGGGCCCGAAUUGCCAAAUUAUUGCCAGGAAGGACCGAUAAUGCCAUUAAAAACCACUGGAAUUCGACGAUGCGUCGACGCUACGAAAACGUGGAGGGCGAUUCAAAGAAGGGCCGUCCCAAAAAGGGCCAGCGACAAUUAGAGAUUUGCAAAGUUGGCAAUUUACUACUCCCUGCACAUGUCCGGUCAACAGAGUCGGCCAGUCACGACAGUAGACAAUCGGACUGGGUGGAAGUGUGCGACCAAGGCAGCAACCAAUCAAGUGCCGCAUUUUCCACUGGCGGUCUGACUCCCUCUUCAGAUUCCCGAACAGCAACUGGAUUCGAGCGCCUCAAUCCAUCACCCUGUAUAUCGCAGCUCAGCAUUGCUGAGACGCACAGCUACGCCAGAAGCUAUCCUAGAGAACCGUCGCCAGUUAAACUGACGCCACUGAAUGAGGACCCCAUCGAAGACUACAACAUCCGUUACUUUAAUUCGCCGAAUGUUAGUCCUCUCAAGACUGAUGGCAGGCACAUUAUUCGAUUAAUAAGUGACAAUCACAAUUACCAGGGAUCCUCAGAAGCUGCUGUUUCGCAUCUGCCGUCGAUGCCAGUGCGAACAGCCACUCCCCCCAUCCUGAGAAGAGGCGCCCGCUCGAGAAGGAGACGCGAUAGCGAAGAACCAAGACAGGAAAACAAUGCUGAUGUUUACAUCAGUAAUCCUGGGCCUAGUCAAGAACGGUCGGACGAUUUCACUGUGAUCUUUGGCGGUGGUAAACCGACAAUCUUCAGUCCGCUGAGGGGCAACGGCAUGUCUCCGAUCAAGCAGUUGCCGUUCAGUCCUUCCCAGUUUUUGAAUAGUCCAGGAGUCGCUCAUAUUUCUUUUGAUGUUGCCCUGUCUUCCACUCCCGUUAAGAAGCCGGGAUCGACUGGAUCGAAGCACGAUACACCAAAGCACACUAAGGAAUAUAGUCCGUUGAAUACGCCAAGAGGACCACAAGUUCGACCCGAAGCCACAGUGUCCAACUCAGAGGUGCAAACUCCCAACAAGAGACUGUUUCGUAAUGGAGACACUCCGCGUACUCCUACACCGUUCAAAAAGGCACUGGCCGAUUUGGAGAAGAAGUCGGGACCGAUUGUUAAUAUGCCUCACACGCCCUCUUCACGAUUCGACGACAUAACGGAGAUUAUGAAGAAGGAUCAGGAUGCUUCGCAAUACGAGACUGACACCAGUACCAUCACAUCAACAACGAACGACAGUGGUUACAACACAAUAAGUAAAAGAAAAGCCGGAAGUUUGGCUGAUGGAAAAGAGAACGUUUUACCGAAUAAGAGAGUCAGAAAAGCUUUAGCACCGUCUUGGGCUUCUACUUCUAUGUCAUCUUGCGUUUCUUCGGACAUGUCUUUUGCUGUUGAAACCCCGAGUAAAAGUCUAGGCGAUGACACGGCCAUGCUAUUCACAACUCCGCCUUCGAUAAUGAAAGAUUCAUUAGGAGUGUCGGCUUUGGAAUAUUCAGCGCCUGGAGAAUCAAAGGUACAUGACUGGUUUCCUUACGCGGACUUUUUUUCUUCUUAAUUAACAUUUGACAAUAUUCAACGACAAACACACGUACCUGGACACACAAUCACAAACCCUUCAACUCUCCUAACAGAUCACUUUAUGUUGGCGUGAUUAAUAUGCCAUUUCUCAAUUCGGUUGUGGUUUUUUUUUAUUAUUUUAACACUAACAUUUCCACAUUAAAACCAAGCAAAUGGUGGCCAAAUAUCAUGCUUCAUGUAUGGCAUUUAUUUAAUGCACAAUCUAGUCGAUGCUUAGUAUUGGUAAGCAAGGAACAACCAAAGCCAUUUCGAAUUUUUUAUUUUGUUGCACAAACAGCUCUAAUAUAUUGUGUAUCUCACAAUGAAGAAUCUCCUUCAUUUAUCUUAAUCGUUUGUCUAUUUCUUACAAACCAAAAAGUUGUCAAACGACGCGUACUUAUUUUUUUCUACUUAAAGUUGCUGAGGCAAAUGACCCCACAAAAAGUUCUUCGCAUAGUCGUUUGAAGACAACCACUUUUGUUCUUCGCAUAAUCUUGUACGCUUUAUCCAACCAGUAAUUUAUGUUUAAUUUUUAUUAUUUUGUUAUUUGUGUUGUUAAGAUAGGGCGGUAUGUGUACAUAAAAUAUUCUAGGGUAUUCCGAAUGAAAUGAUAUAGACUAAGUCGGUUUAUGCUUGCUUGUACAUAAUAUAUUCUAUCGAGUUUUAUAUGGUGCCAAAGCGAAAUACUUUAAUGUUGUUUUAUCAGAAAAAUCUUAUCUAUUAUUUAUUGAAUUAUUUAUUAUUAUUGCGUUAAUAAUUUAAGAGCUGAUUGGAUCUCUAAUGGUUUCAUGUUCCGGUUUCUUCAAUACACACAGUAGGCUUUUUAUAUUUAAACUUUAUUCUGUUGUUUGUUUGACUUUGAAGUACAUUUUUUUCCCAACAAUUCGAAAAAUCUCCAAAAACACUUAUACAUAUAUUGUUGAUACAAUAAAGAAAAACUCAUUAAACAUGCACAGAGUGUUUUAAAUCAAUUAAUUACAUUACAAAAUACUAAGUCGUUUUGAGCUUAAAAGUAUGUACAUUUUGUGUUAAAUACAAUUUUAAAAAUUGUGUCAAUCUGUACGAUUCGUACAGAACUUGAGGAACCUUUCGAUUAUGAUAAUGGAGAAUAUUAUUUAUUAUGAAAGUGGCGAAUUAACUGAAAUUUAUGGAACUGGAACUACCUUAGAUACCCGUAACACCUACAGCUGGUUUUGUUAUUUCCAAAUUUAAAUAAAUCCUAGAAUAUCACUUAAAAACUGCUUUACAUACGUUACCACUUAUAAAAAAAGCGACCGCCAAACUUAAUUAUUGUUAUACUACGUUUACUCCAUUUGUACAUAUUUGCGGCACAAAUUUUAUAAAAUAAACGUGUAUUUAUGUUUUAAAUAUUUUUGUAUAAUUGUUGCACUUUGUUUACUUUUAGUCUUUUUUCCCGUUAUUUUCGUUUCGUGUUAGUUUUAGGUCAAUGUGACUUGAACAAAGACGGUCGUUUAACGGAAUUCGCUUUGUUUUUUUUUGUUCGAUUAAAUGUGUGAAUUUUUCGAAAUUUUUGUAUUAUAAGUAUGAGAAAAAUACCUUUAUUUUGUGUCUUUCGCGUAAGUUGCAUGUUUAAUGUUACUAAAAAAGUAACAUGGAUGACUGAACUUUUAUUACCACUAACAAAGCAGUGCAUAACAUUGAAAGGAAUCUGAACGAUUAUCUCUCAUUGCAUGCAAAUGAUAUAUUUAGACAGCUAAGUUUAGUAGUGUUUGGAUCACUAAAUUUUAACGCUUCCUUUAUUUAGCUUGUUUGCUCCUAUUAAUAACUUAUUUGCAAGGCGAAUGUUGUUUAACCAGGAAAUUUAGUGGUUCAAGCUAGAUCUUUAAUCUGUAUGACUUACCUUGUAAAUUUGUCUUGUAAUGUGUAUAAAAAGGCAAAAUAAAGCUUGCUUCCAAGCUGGGUAGUACGUCGUGUACUCCGGGGCAGCGCUCAACUGCAGCCAAGCGGAUCACUUUCGAAGAGACCAUGCCGAACACUCCUAAGAUCGAUUCAUUCUGGGCUGUAAUAGCAUGCGGUAAAACCCAGAACCAACUAGACCUCACUGAGAAGGCUCACAGGUUUCUGAAGAACAACGGCUUAAAGCCGCGCUCACUUCAUUUUUAGAUGGCAAUUAUAUGUGAAACAUAGGAUAAAGAGAAAUGUUAGUGUGUUUUAUUUUUAGCUCUAAUGGGGGUUUAAAUUUAGUUUUAAUUGAAUAGUUGCAGUAUUACUCAACCAUAAUUUACGAGUUGAGGCUUUAAAUCACUGUACUAUAAUGCAGGCUUACUCGAUUGUCGACUAAGAUAAUUUUAUUGCUUAUUUUCUUAUAUUUGUAGAUUAAUUUACGUUUUUCUAAGAUUCUUUGGACAUAUGUAUUAAAAAAAAAUUAGCUCAUUAAAUUGUACAAAUUACAAUAUGGAAUAUUUACCUUAUGUUUGUUUUAAAUGUUUAUUUUAUUUUUACAUAUAUUUUGAACCGUUAAUAUUUUCAACCAAAUUGUACAUUUUCACUUUCAUAUACUAGGAUAAAAAUGGCAAUUUUAAAAACAAAGUACCAAUCUGUGAAUAAAUUGUUGAAAAACUGUUCUCGUGGGCCAACAAACGAAUACAUAUUUUUUUUCGCUCUUCGAAACUAACUUUGCCUUUUGUACAUGCUCAAAUGAAAUCAAUGCUUUAACAGCAUUUCAGCAACUAGUUCAGAGAUUGUUACUACUUAACAUGUUCAAGUAGUGAUUUUUAUUUUAGCUUUAAAAUGUCGAUUUUAGAAGUCAGGGAAAUUGUUAAAAGCACCUCAUAGUUACAUGUAAUUUGUAUUAUGUAAUAUGAUUUAGAGUAUUUCAUAGUCUUCGAUGAGUUUUAUGUGAAAUUGUUUAACUAUGUGGUGUAGUCAAUAAAAUGGUUUUUAAAUACACAA